This 522-nucleotide ribosomal RNA is filed under the name Saitozyma podzolica. RNAcentral's name for it is "LSU rRNA". It matches the Rfam family "Eukaryotic large subunit ribosomal RNA", at positions 107 to 609 of the family's 3401-position model. The record is from RNAcentral. Lineage: Eukaryota; Fungi; Basidiomycota; Tremellomycetes; Tremellales; Trimorphomycetaceae.
GCUCAAAUUUGAAAGCUGGCGUCCUACGGGCGUCCGCAUUGUAAUCUAUAGAGGCGUUUUCUGUGCUGGACCGUGUCCAAGUCCCUUGGAACAGGGUAUCAAAGAGGGUGACAAUCCCGUACUUGACACGACAACCAGUGCUCUGUGAUACGUCUUCUACGAGUCGAGUUGUUUGGGAAUGCAGCUCAAAAUGGGUGGUGAAUUCCAUCUAAAGCUAAAUAUUGGCGAGAGACCGAUAGCGAACAAGUACCGUGAGGGAAAGAUGAAAAGCACUUUGGAAAGAGAGUUAAACAGUAUGUGAAAUUGUUGAAAGGGAAACGAUGGAGGUCAGUCGUGUCUGUGGGAUUCAGCCGUCUCUGGCGGUGUACUUCCCACAGACGGGUCAACAUCAGUUUUGGCUGGCGGAUAAAGGCAGGAGGAAGGUGGCACCCCCGGGUGUGUUAUAGCCUCUUGUUGCAUACGCUGGCUGAGACUGAGGAAUGCAGCUCGCCUUUAUGGCCGGGGUCGCCCACGUCGAGCUUA